This 2370-nucleotide ribosomal RNA is filed under the name Staphylococcus aureus. Its description in RNAcentral is "bacterial LSU rRNA". It matches the Rfam family "Bacterial large subunit ribosomal RNA", at positions 3 to 2371 of the family's 2925-position model. Lineage: Bacteria; Bacillati; Bacillota; Bacilli; Caryophanales; Staphylococcaceae. The record is from RNAcentral.
UUAAGUUAUUAAGGGCGCACGGUGGAUGCCUUGGCACUAGAAGCCGAUGAAGGACGUUACUAACGACGAUAUGCUUUGGGGAGCUGUAAGUAAGCUUUGAUCCAGAGAUUUCCGAAUGGGGAAACCCAGCAUGAGUUAUGUCAUGUUAUCGAUAUGUGAAUACAUAGCAUAUCAGAAGGCACACCCGGAGAACUGAAACAUCUUAGUACCCGGAGGAAGAGAAAGAAAAUUCGAUUCCCUUAGUAGCGGCGAGCGAAACGGGAAGAGCCCAAACCAACAAGCUUGCUUGUUGGGGUUGUAGGACACUCUAUACGGAGUUACAAAGGACGACAUUAGACGAAUCAUCUGGAAAGAUGAAUCAAAGAAGGUAAUAAUCCUGUAGUCGAAAAUGUUGUCUCUCUUGAGUGGAUCCUGAGUACGACGGAGCACGUGAAAUUCCGUCGGAAUCUGGGAGGACCAUCUCCUAAGGCUAAAUACUCUCUAGUGACCGAUAGUGAACCAGUACCGUGAGGGAAAGGUGAAAAGCACCCCGGAAGGGGAGUGAAAUAGAACCUGAAACCGUGUGCUUACAAGUAGUCAGAGCCCGUUAAUGGGUGAUGGCGUGCCUUUUGUAGAAUGAACCGGCGAGUUACGAUUUGAUGCAAGGUUAAGCAGUAAAUGUGGAGCCGUAGCGAAAGCGAGUCUGAAUAGGGCGUUUAGUAUUUGGUCGUAGACCCGAAACCAGGUGAUCUACCCUUGGUCAGGUUGAAGUUCAGGUAACACUGAAUGGAGGACCGAACCGACUUACGUUGAAAAGUGAGCGGAUGAACUGAGGGUAGCGGAGAAAUUCCAAUCGAACCUGGAGAUAGCUGGUUCUCUCCGAAAUAGCUUUAGGGCUAGCCUCAAGUGAUGAUUAUUGGAGGUAGAGCACUGUUUGGACGAGGGGCCCCUCUCGGGUUACCGAAUUCAGACAAACUCCGAAUGCCAAUUAAUUUAACUUGGGAGUCAGAACAUGGGUGAUAAGGUCCGUGUUCGAAAGGGAAACAGCCCAGACCACCAGCUAAGGUCCCAAAAUAUAUGUUAAGUGGAAAAGGAUGUGGCGUUGCCCAGACAACUAGGAUGUUGGCUUAGAAGCAGCCAUCAUUUAAAGAGUGCGUAAUAGCUCACUAGUCGAGUGACACUGCGCCGAAAAUGUACCGGGGCUAAACAUAUUACCGAAGCUGUGGAUUGUCCUUUGGACAAUGGUAGGAGAGCGUUCUAAGGGCGUUGAAGCAUGAUCGUAAGGACAUGUGGAGCGCUUAGAAGUGAGAAUGCCGGUGUGAGUAGCGAAAGACGGGUGAGAAUCCCGUCCACCGAUUGACUAAGGUUUCCAGAGGAAGGCUCGUCCGCUCUGGGUUAGUCGGGUCCUAAGCUGAGGCCGACAGGCGUAGGCGAUGGAUAACAGGUUGAUAUUCCUGUACCACCUAUAAUCGUUUUAAUCGAUGGGGGGACGCAGUAGGAUAGGCGAAGCGUGCGAUUGGAUUGCACGUCUAAGCAGUAAGGCUGAGUAUUAGGCAAAUCCGGUACUCGUUAAGGCUGAGCUGUGAUGGGGAGAAGACAUUGUGUCUUCGAGUCGUUGAUUUCACACUGCCGAGAAAAGCCUCUAGAUAGAAAAUAGGUGCCCGUACCGCAAACCGACACAGGUAGUCAAGAUGAGAAUUCUAAGGUGAGCGAGCGAACUCUCGUUAAGGAACUCGGCAAAAUGACCCCGUAACUUCGGGAGAAGGGGUGCUCUUUAGGGUUAACGCCCAGAAGAGCCGCAGUGAAUAGGCCCAAGCGACUGUUUAUCAAAAACACAGGUCUCUGCUAAACCGUAAGGUGAUGUAUAGGGGCUGACGCCUGCCCGGUGCUGGAAGGUUAAGAGGAGUGGUUAGCUUCUGCGAAGCUACGAAUCGAAGCCCCAGUAAACGGCGGCCGUAACUAUAACGGUCCUAAGGUAGCGAAAUUCCUUGUCGGGUAAGUUCCGACCCGCACGAAAGGCGUAACGAUUUGGGCACUGUCUCAACGAGAGACUCGGUGAAAUCAUAGUACCUGUGAAGAUGCAGGUUACCCGCGACAGGACGGAAAGACCCCGUGGAGCUUUACUGUAGCCUGAUAUUGAAAUUCGGCACAGCUUGUACAGGAUAGGUAGGAGCCUUUGAAACGUGAGCGCUAGCUUACGUGGAGGCGCUGGUGGGAUACUACCCUAGCUGUGUUGGCUUUCUAACCCGCACCACUUAUCGUGGUGGGAGACAGUGUCAGGCGGGCAGUUUGACUGGGGCGGUCGCCUCCUAAAAGGUAACGGAGGCGCUCAAAGGUUCCCUCAGAAUGGUUGGAAAUCAUUCAUAGAGUGUAAAGGCAUAAGGGAGCUUG